RNAcentral lists this ribosomal RNA (253 nucleotides) under uncultured bacterium. RNAcentral describes it as "partial 16S ribosomal RNA". It matches the Rfam family "Bacterial small subunit ribosomal RNA", at positions 524 to 776 of the family's 1533-position model. The record is from RNAcentral.
UACGUAGGGUCCGAGCGUUGUCCGGAAUUACUGGGCGUAAAGAGCUCGUAGGUGGUUUGUCGCGUUGUCCGUGAAAACUCACAGCUUAACUGUGGGCGUGCGGGCGAUACGGGCAGACUGGAGUACUGCAGGGGAGACUGGAAUUCCUGGUGUAGCGGUGGAAUGCGCAGAUAUCAGGAGGAACACCGGUGGCGAAGGCGGCUUGCUGGGCCUUACCUGACGCUGAGGAGCGAAAGCGUGGGGAGCGAACAGG